AUACACGUUGCCCUCCAGAGCCUUCCCCGUCUUUGUAGCCCUCCUUUGGAUGCUUUUUAAUAGUUUCAUGUCCUUAUAUUGUGGUGCCCUUGCCACAAGGAAGCAAACAAAUUACAAGCAACACAAGAAGACAUGACUGCACAUAAGAUGUGGAAGAGCAAAUCUACACACAAUGUACCUCAGAACUUCAGGAGAAGGGGAGGGAAAAUGCUCAGCAGCACACUCUGAUGGUCAUUUCCCUCAGAUUAUGUUUUGUUGCCUAGAAUAAUGUUUAAAACAUUACAUUAUUGGCUGAUGUUCCUCAGCCAAUCAGUUAACAUCUGUUUUUUUCAACUUCAUAUUUAUCCUCCCAGAGACCUCUAAGCGGAAGUAGAUGUUUUCAGAGAUGCAGAAGGAAUUCUGGAUUAGUUUGGGGUUUUGUGGAGAUGAAGAGGAAUUUGAGGGCAAGAGCAGUUUAUAUUUACUCACCAAGCCCUGUAUUUUGUAAUAUAGAUACCAGACAUGAGUAGAAGAAAGUGAUGGAGAUUUCAUGAACAGAAGGGUAGCCUCUAUCUGUAAAACAUGUAUCCAAAGAACUAUUUACAGUCCAAGUAAUGGAAAAACAUCCUUUACUGGGAGACAAUUGGUUUGUCACAAUUCAGACAAAUAUUUGUUAUGCAAAAACAAUUCUUAAUUUAAAAAGGCAGCACAGUACCUUUGGGACUGCUCCCACAAGCUGUAUUCCCAUCUCUUUGGAAAAACAAAAUGACCCAAAUCAACUGUUUGCAUUGCAGCCUCGGGUCAACUGCUCCAAAGGCAUCACUGGGCACAGGAGCUGCUUCUGCCAGAAAUUGUAGACGUUUUACGUCAUGCAAAUUCUGGUUCUUCGUUUCCCGUUACUGUUUUCUUUCAGUUUAGGGAUAAUCCAAGAUGUAUGUUUCUUGCCAUUUAAAACCAAGAGAAAAACCACAACAGUAUUUUCCACGUAAGCCAAAAUCUUUCACAUGUGCCAACUGUCAGAGCAGACAAAAGAGCUUUGAUCAUAGUCAGACACCAUAACUAGCUACUCGUUUUAAUUACAGAAAGUUUUAGCUAUUAUUACACGACAGGCUGCCACAUUCAGCACAUGACAUAGUUUCAUGAAAGCGUUUCAUUUCUCUCAGCACAGAUCCAGCCCUAGGCUAUUUCACUCACAGCAGAAGCAUAGGUUUGAAUGAACCCAAGGAGAUAACUGAGCCCGAGACCUACAACAACCCACAUGUGCACCAACCCAGCUCCCAGCCGGAUGGGAAACCAUCACCCUCAGGACCCCAGCUGGUGCAGAGCUGCGCACUGCCCGCAGGUCAUGUGUUUUCUUUUGUUCUUUAAAUUCUUCGGAACGAAACAAUUGUAAAUCCAUGGGUUUGGGGACAUAUUUCAGUUAUUUUAAAAUUCUUUUUCUUGAUGUUUUCCUUCUAUUUUUAGUAUGCUAGCUGUUUUGAGGGGCUGAUGAACUCAAUCCCAAACUAUUGUUUUUUUCCUGCCUGGAUUGCUGUCAGAGAAUCAGAAAGAAAUAGCUGUGGCACAGGUCAGCCCAAACAUUUUCACGAGGGCUGUUACACGUUUUCAUCUCUAUUAGCAGUACUUUCAUUUUGGCAAACCUUUCUGUGAGCAAACUCACAAAAGCACUGAUGAAGAGCAAAUCAAAGGGAAUAUGACAGUUGUCAAAAAGGCUCUGUGUUUUCUGUUUGAACAAAUGCUUAUGAGUACUCAUUUACUCAUAGCUGGGAGCUCUAAUCCUCAUCUAUUCAGCACAUUACAGAAAAAAUACUAAAUUACAUCCCCUAUCACUGCAUCUAAUUCCGAAUGAAGUCAAAUAAGUGUAGUAAAGAGAAUAAACAAAUAAUUAGUGACACUGAUAACGUAGGAAUUGGGCUGAAAGAAUGUCUUUCCCUUGGAAAACAGAGAAGCAGUGUCAGAGUUGUUGAUUAAUUUAACAGCCAUUAAAACAUCUUAUUAACUCAAGUGCUAAUUGAGUGCCUGGCAGGAAUAACAGGGCAGAGCCAACCAAAUGCAUACAUACAAAUUGCUAAAAUAUGAAGAAAUUCUCUGGCUUAAUAUUUCAUUACUUCUAUAACUUGUUUUUUUGUAGUGUGUUUGGCUGGCUUAUGUGACCUCACCUGCCUGCUUUGUGCUGGUUUUGAAGAUGCCAUGGCACACAGUCUCAGUCUCACACAGUCUCAUUUUCUUUAAAAUGUUUGCAAAACCAAGUCCCAUGGUGUCUGAUUUGUCACUUGAUGCUGGUUGGAGGACAGGUCCAGGGACUGCAGGAAAGGGGAGCACAGGAGAACCAGGAGCUCAGCAGCAGUACUGCUGCCAAGACCAAACUCACGAGAUUCAGUAACGUAAAAAUGCAUCAGCCUUGCCCAUCUCCUUUCCUUCAUCUUGCCAUUUGUUACCAAGCUAUCAGCCUUUCUGACUUGUUCUCCAGGAGCUCUGAUCCUCUGGUGCUGCUGGCACGAGCAGCCUCCUUUGCAAAGAUCUUCACUCUGGGAGAAAAACAAGAAGCUCACCUGCGAGUACUCUUUCUCUGCAAGUGCAACAUCUGGUGUUUUCCCAUCUGAAGGAUGCCACACAUAAAUGGACCUGAAUCCAGCACUGCUGAUAAACUGACACUUCACCAUCUCAGAAGGACAGAGACAGCUUGGCCCUGCUGGGCUCUGUGCUGCCCCAUGCAUCAAAGACCAAGUUACAAAGGGUGGAAGCAAGGAGGAGAGUGAGGGGACCCUUCACUGCCUGCAAAGGAGCUCCUGGCUCUGGUGCAGCCACAUCUCUGAGCCUGGAGAAAGUGGGUGAAGAGCUAGAGGGCACACUUCUGCCCACGAGUCGCUGAGAUGGCCCAUUGUGCAGGACGGACAGCUUGCACCCAGACGGGCCCUGUAGAAACCACUGCGUGUGAGGAGUGGCUGGAGGACACAGCAGGAGAUUUCAUGCUCUCGCCCUGUGCUUUGAUGCACUUGGCUAACAAGUUAAUCAGCUGUUUGUUGUCAGGUCUGAUGGGAAAAUAUCAACAAACACAACUAGAGGAUGGAGAGAGCAAAACCUUUUCUGGGCUGUAGUUUCAGUUCCCCAAUGGCAUACAGACCAGGCACCUUCCAGCUCUCUCACAGGGACUGGGAGCGCUCCUCCAGCCUCAGCCACUUUGUCUUGCUCUUGGAAAAGGGACAAGCAGAGUCCUUCAGAAAAAGCCAGAUGAUACAAAUCCAAAGACAUACUUCCAUUUCCAAAAAGACAUUUUUUAAAUGGAGAAAUAAAACUGCCUUGGUCGCUCAGAAGAGACGGUGAGACAUGCAUUUCUGAAGAACAGGGCUGAAAAAGCAAGUUUCUCCAUAGAAAUGAUAUUUUCUCCAAGAGGAUUAAUUUCUCAGCAUGUUGGCCUUUCCAUAGAGGGCACUGGUCGUGAGGUGACCCAUCCCACACUGCUAAUAGAAGCUUGUCCCAGCAGGGUCAGCGUUUGCACUGGGAGACAGUGGCAAAAGCCCAGCCUACAGCUGCAGCUGCCAAAGAGCUGCUAAAAGGCAGCCUAAAAACUAACCACUGAUCGGGGCGAGGAGGACCAGCUGCUGUAUCGCUGCCUCAAUCAAUGAUGAGCAUGACACUAGCUGGGAAGACUUCUUCAUUAGGAGCCAUGCUCUGACUCACGGGUUGUUGCGUCUGAGCAAACACAGUCUGUUGACUUAAUGCUGGUGCAGGUGCUGGGCUGCACCUUGCCCCACUUGCUAUCAGGCAGAGCAGCAGGACGCCCCAUAAAAGUACAUAAAAAUCCAACAGCUGUUAGAAGCUGGUGGGUUUCCUUGUGGGUAUGGGUGCUCAGCUCUCCCUCACUUCCCCACUGCUGCGGGAUCAGGCUGUGGGCAGGCAGAGGGAAACGCGAGCAACACUUCUCCUGCAAGGAAAAAUACAGCUUCACAUCAUCUGCGCAGCAUGACUGGAUGUCCCGAGCAGAUGUGUUAUUUAAGGAGCAUUUCAGCGAGCACAGGGUGGCUUUCCUAGGGCCUUGCAUCCCCGGCUUUGCAGCCACCUAACCACACCUCCGGCUGCCCCGUGGUGCUCAGCAAAAGCAACUGGCCUGACUGGGCUCCUGUGGCUGUUUCUACUGGAAUUAAACCAAAUCAGGGAUCUCCGGCCGUGCAGCACCCAGGGGAUGGCGUCAGCGUGGUGGCUGUGGCGGGGAUGCGGCCAUACCAGGCACCAUCCCCACCGCGCCGGCAGCCCUCGCCGUGGGAAAGUCUUUGAUGUAACCAAAGCUCCGGGGCCGCGUUUCCACCCCGGUACCUGAUCUCGUAAACAUCAGCGAUGGCGCGGCCGCUGCGCACGCAGAAACCACAUCCUGUCACCCGCUCGGCAAUCGGCGGGGCCAUCUCGGUGGCCAGGACGUGGAGGAGUUGCGACACUCGUCUGCAUGCUGCAAGCAGGAGCGCUUCCCGUCAGGGCGAGGGGUCAGCGUUUUGCACCCUGUGACCCCACGGGCUGGUGACAGCCCGUCCGUAUGCAGCCGGGGUUUCAGAGAGGCUAUGUGCAUCAGUUCAUUUUUGCCAGCAGUUCUCCUUCCACAGGAACAUGGAUCUGACUUUAUAAUUCAUGCAUGCCUGGGAAGUUCAAUCCAGUCCCGCUGGAGUAGCAAGCUCAGUGGGAGUUUAUUUAUUUAAAGCAGUGGAUGCAGUAGCAUGGAAAAAAAAGCAAAUCUAUCAGAAACCAUAAGUCUUAAUCCUGAAACAGCUUUGCUUUUUGUAAAAUAUGGUCUAGAGAAACUGCUUUUACGAUGUGGCUUCCACAGAGCCUUGGCUUAACAUUUCAAUCCCCACAGAACUAUAUUAUAGCAUAAUAAUUAAAACAUUUACAAAAUGAAGAUAAUCUAUGGCUCAUCCAAGUUUCUAUGGAAAUUUGGAGGCUAUGGUGUAUGCAGCUGUUCUCAUCUAAUGCAAAGGUUGGCUGUAGCUCUGCUUCUGAGCACAUUCGUAACUUAGGGGAUAAUUUAUCCACUCUGUUUACACAGUUCUCGGCUUGCACAGCCCUCGGACCUUUUCUACGGUUCCCAAGCAAAGGGCUGCCUUACCCUCCCCUCUCAACUUGAGCAACGCUAACAAAACUCCUCUACUGAGAGACAUGGGUGCUCGCAUGUGUUCCAGAGGCUCUGUUGGAGAUACGUCAGAGCAUCUCAGAAGAGACACGGAGAUGCAUGCGCCCUGCCCUGCAGUGUCCCAUAAAAUGCAGUACCACAAAAACUUGUUACCUUUCCCCUUCGGGAGGAGUUGAUCUCCCAUUUGCUCCCCUCCCAAGCAGCACCCCAGUGCUCAGGGCAGCAGGGGAGGGGGCACAGCUGGAUGGCACUGCCAGAUGUGCUGCCCCAAGUUCAGCUGUGGGUAUGGGAUGUUCUGCUCCUGGGGGGAUGUUUCCUCCUGCUCACAUUCGUGGUGGGACAGGGUCUCACAUUCACGAGCUUAUCAGCUCCAGUGAGCCUGUGGAUGAUGCAAGCCGUUUUCAUUUUGCAAUGUGAAAUUGCUAAUGAAGAAGGAGUUAAUGACCGCCAAGCAAAGGAAAUUAGCCAGCAGCACGCAGCUCCAGCCGUCACGCAGUGGCCCAAUGGGUGCAAAUCUUCAAGUCUCAUCUAAGUCAUGUCACGGAAGCCUGCGCUUUGCAAACAGGACAGUGCAGCUACAUUAUUCAGGGGUUCACAGAAGAAAAUAUUUCAGCUGAAACAGUGCUAGAGCAUGCCAUCCUGAACAAAUACUUAGUAAUGUUCAACAAAUAAUGUGCCUGGUAGCAAAAAUUUUUUUGAGUAUGAACUUAGAAAGUCUUGGAGUGUCAGUACUGUGCAGUCUGAGGGAAAAAAAGAAACAGGAAACCAACAAAAAAUCAAUUGAUCGAUCGAUCUAAUGAACAAACAAGAAACACUGUAAAACCCAUUAUUUUAGUUCCUGGUCAUGUGUAACCCCUGCAGCCCAGCUGAGCUGCUGUUGGGAUGGAGGUGGUGGUGGCUGAGAAGUCCCAUGGAUUUUGGAGAGCAGCUGUAUCCAUAGGCUCUCAGUCACUUCUCAGUGCAAAUAGCCUGCAAAUAAAGAUACACAUCUAAAGACA
Molecule: long non-coding RNA, 6096 nt
Organism: Numida meleagris (helmeted guineafowl)
Lineage: Eukaryota; Metazoa; Chordata; Aves; Galliformes; Numididae
Exons: 5
Source: RefSeq, a predicted model, not a curated record